RNAcentral lists this long non-coding RNA (255 nucleotides) under Capsella rubella. Its description in RNAcentral is "long non-coding RNA (CRUB_LNC001340)". The record is from RNAcentral. Lineage: Eukaryota; Viridiplantae; Streptophyta; Magnoliopsida; Brassicales; Brassicaceae.
AAGAUCGAGAGGUGACAAGAAGAAGAACACAUCUUUUUUUUUUUUACUUGUAUCUACCUUAAAACUUAACUUUACAACGUGGAAUGUGAUCGGAUGUUGACAAUUCGUAAUUAACUAGUUACUCUUUUUUUUUUAAGUACAUGCAUUUGUAAAAUAAUGGAAAAUACUAUAGGAUAAGACUUAAAAUUUUUAAAAAAUCAAUCCAGUGGUACGUAGUCCGUCCAGUUAACACCUUCGUUAUAAACAAGAGGCUAU